RNAcentral lists this transfer RNA (71 nucleotides) under Mus musculus (house mouse). It matches the Rfam family "tRNA". From Rfam's summary of the family: Transfer RNA (tRNA) molecules are approximately 80 nucleotides in length. Their secondary structure includes four short double-helical elements and three loops (D, anti-codon, and T loops). Lineage: Eukaryota; Metazoa; Chordata; Mammalia; Rodentia; Muridae. The record is from Rfam by way of RNAcentral.
AAUAGUGUGGCUCAGUGGUUGAGCACUUGUCUAGUAUGUACUGGGUUUGGGUUUGAUUCCCACCACCACUA